RNAcentral lists this transfer RNA (77 nucleotides) under Calderihabitans maritimus. Its description in RNAcentral is "tRNA-Val". It matches the Rfam family "tRNA". Rfam says of the family: Transfer RNA (tRNA) molecules are approximately 80 nucleotides in length. Their secondary structure includes four short double-helical elements and three loops (D, anti-codon, and T loops). Further hydrogen bonds mediate the characteristic L-shaped molecular structure. tRNAs have two regions of fundamental functional importance: the anti-codon, which is responsible for specific mRNA codon recognition, and the 3' end, to which the tRNAs corresponding amino acid is attached (by aminoacyl-tRNA synthetases). tRNAs cope with the degeneracy of the genetic code in two manners: having more than one tRNA (with a specific anti-codon) for a particular amino acid; and 'wobble' base-pairing, i.e. permitting non-standard base-pairing at the 3rd anti-codon position. Lineage: Bacteria; Bacillati; Bacillota; Clostridia; Neomoorellales; Calderihabitantaceae. The record is from RNAcentral.
GGGGCUGUAGCUCAGUUGGUCAGAGCGCUUGCUUGACAUGCAAGAGGUCUCCAGUUCAAGUCUGGACAGCCCCACCA